This is an RNA transcript of Pteropus alecto (black flying fox), 1999 nucleotides long. It is a transcript of the gene named proline and serine rich coiled-coil 1, with no coding region annotated. The transcript is spliced from 8 exons. NCBI's taxonomy places the organism in Eukaryota, Metazoa, Chordata, Mammalia, Chiroptera, Pteropodidae. The record is from RefSeq and is a predicted model, not a curated record.
AAGAUUCGAAAGGAGCCCCGCCCCCUCGGAGCAGAUUCCCGGGACUAAGUUGUGGGAAGAAAGCACAGUUUGCGGGAGCUCAGGUCUAAGCCGACUCCUGCUCCUGCUGGCUGGAACAUGGGAGAUUUGCAGGAAGAUGUGAAGUUUAUAGUGGAUGAGACGUUGGACUUUGGAGGGCUGUCACCAUCUGACAGUCUCCUGCUCUCUGUGGUGUGGGCACGGUGCCUGGUUUGUUUUCUGUCUCAGUCGUGAGGAGGAAGACAUAGCAGUGUUGGUGACUCCGGAGAAACCCCCCCGACGAGGCCUCUCCCACCGAAGUGACUCAAAUGCAGUGGCCCCCACCCCCCAGGGUCUGAGGUUCAGCUUAGGCCACCUCAGCCCAGAGAAGCUGGAGGAGAUCCUCGAUGAGGCCAACAAGCUGGCAGCACAGCUGGAGCGGUGUGCCCUGCAGGAGCGGGAGACCACAGGCGAGGGCCUGGGGCCUCGAAGGGUGAAGCCCAGCCCUCGGCGGGAGACCUUUGUGCUGAAGGACAGUCCUGUCCGCGACCUGCUGCCCACUGUGAGCUCUUUGGCUCGGAGCACCCCUUCCCCAAGCAGCCUGACACCCCGACUCCGGAGCAGCGAUAGGAAGGGGUCAGUCAGGGCUCUUUGGGCAACCUCUGGAAAGAGGCCCUCCAGCAUGAAGAGGGAGUCACCCACUUGCAAUCUGUUCCCCACAUCCAAAAGCCCAGCAUCUUCUCCUCUUGCCCGACCAAUUCCUCCAAUCCGGGGAAAAGCUGGGCCCAGUGGGAGAGCAACAGCAAGCCCACCUACCCCUGUCAGACCAGCUUUGGCCCCACCACCUUCUACCAGCAACUCUCAGCGCCUGUCUCGGCCACAGGGAGCAGCUGCUAAAACUUCCAGUCGACUGCCUGUUCCCUCGGCCAUCCCCAGGCCUGCCAGCCGAGUGCCACUCACCAGCCGGAGUAUACCACCCAGCAAAGGUGCCCUAGCUCCAGAUUCUCUGUCAACUCGGAAAGGACUUCCAAAACCAAGCACUACUGGGCACAGAGGUAGGAAGAAUGGACAUAAGGGUAAGAAGUCAGGAGGAAGAAUACCUACCCUUGCCCAGCUUGACCGUACCCUCCCGGAGCUGGUAACAAUGACCACUUUUUCCAUCUUCAUUGCAACUCUCCUUGAAGAUGGAGGAAAGGCACCGAUCCCAAACUCUGCCUUCAACCAGUAUUUCAUUUUGAGAAGGUCAUUUGAACUUUCUGCUAAUUCAUUUCUUUUGUAAACUCCCAUCAAGUUCCUGUUUCCCAACGACCAGAUCUUCCCGUUACUGGUGCCACUCGCAGCAAUCUGCAGCCCCCCAGGAGAGUCGCAGUCCCAGGACCUACCAGGUAAAGAGAUCAGGACAGCCAGUGAGAAGUCAGUAGCAAACCACUACAGUCACUGCCUGGACUCACUCUACUCGGUCUCCUAAGCACUCUCAUUGGAGGCAGUUUCCGGCUUCAGCAGAUCCUGGCCCAGGGGCGGGAGGAAGAGUUGCCACCAGGGCUGGCACCCCAGGAGGAGAGACCAUGAGAGCAGAGUGGAUUAGGGUUAAGCUGGAGGGGAUUCAAACUCUCUGGUUUCAAAGAAGAUUAGGAACAAGAGGUCACCCCAGCCGUGAAAUUAACAAAUGGAAGAUGAGAAAUGCUGAAGAGUGGGUUGUCCUCAUCCACCCUAACUCCAUGUUUGGCCCCAGAGAGUUUGAUCUUCCCAGGCAGUGGGUUCACUGGACAUUUACAUGCGAAUGGCCUCUGCAGCUAACCUCCCUGCUCUCUGAGGACCAGUCCUCCUGAAUCAUAUCCUCCACUGGACUCCAGCCUAUUUGGAGAGGCAGAGGCAGGCCCCUGGCUUCCAGAACUUGUUUCCUGUGAAUUCUGUGACUCUUAACAGGCCAGUUUAUGAUAAGCUUACUCUGUUGACCUGCAUUUUUCUAAAAUAAAAUAAAUGUAUUUUUAUAGUCUCUGCA